RNAcentral lists this ribosomal RNA (1066 nucleotides) under Pseudomonas putida. RNAcentral describes it as "bacterial SSU rRNA". It matches the Rfam family "Bacterial small subunit ribosomal RNA", at positions 28 to 1090 of the family's 1533-position model. The record is from RNAcentral. Lineage: Bacteria; Pseudomonadati; Pseudomonadota; Gammaproteobacteria; Pseudomonadales; Pseudomonadaceae.
GCUAGGCAUGGCGGGGGGCCUUACACAUGCAAGUCGAGCGGAUGACGGGAGCUUGCUCCUUGAUUCAGCGGCGGACGGGUGAGAAAUGGCUAGGAAUCUGCCUGGUAGUGGGGGACAACGUUUCGAAAGGAACGCUAAUACCGCAUACGUCCUACGGGAGAAAGCAGGGGACCUUCGGGCCUUGCGCAUCAGAUGAGCCUAGGUCGGAUUAGCUAGUUGGUGGGGUAAUGGCUCGACCAAGGCGACGAUCCGUAACUGGUCUGAGAGGAUGAUCAGUCACACUGGAACUGAGACACGGUCCAGACUCCUACGGGAGGCAGCAGUGGGGAAUAUUGGACAAUGGGCGAAAGCCUGAUCCAGCCAUGCCGCGUGUGUGAAGAAGGUCUUCGGAUUGUAAAGCACUUUAAUUGGGAGGAAGGGCAGUAAGCUAAUACCUUGCUGUUUUGACGUUACCGACCAGAAUAAGCACCGGCUAACUCUGUGCCAGCAGCCGCGGUAAUACAGAGGGUGCAAGCGUUAAUCGGAAUUACUGGGCGUAAAGCGCGCGUAGGUGGUUCGUUAAGUUGGAUGUGAAAGCCCCGGGCUCAACCUGGGAACUGCAUCCAAAACUGGCGAGCUAGAGUACGGUAGAGGGUGGUGGAAUUUCCUGUGUAGCGGUGAAAUGCAGUAGAUAUAGGAAGGAACACCAGUGGCGAAGGCGACCACCUGGACUGAUACUGACACUGAGGCGAAAGCGUGGGGAGCAAACAGGAUUAGAUACCCUGGUAGUCCACCCGUAAACGAUGUCAACUAGCCGUUGGAAUCCUUGAGAUUUUAGUGGCGCAGCUAACGCAUUAAGUUGACCGCCUGGGGAGUACGGCCGCAAGGUUAAAACUCAAAUGAAUUGACGGGGGCCCGCACAAGCGUUGUGGAGCAUGUGGUUUAAUUCGCGAAGCAACGCGAAGAACCUUACCAGGCCUUGACAUGCAGAGAACUUUCCAGAGAUGGAUUGGUGCCUUCGGGACUCUGACACAGUGCUGCAUGGCUGUCGUCAGCUCGGUCGUGAGAAUGUUGGGUUAAGUCCCGU